AAGAGAUUCCUUGCUGGCUCUCAGGACAACACCGACAGAGGUCACUUGUUAUUGAAGCUUAUUCACUUCCCCACUGCCAUGGUGAUGCAGGGAGAUGCCGUGGCUACCCACAGGGCAGGCUGGCUGCUUGCCAAAGGGUUUGGAUGGCCACAGCUUUGACAGAAACACUAAGCACAGACUGACGGUGCCGUUGGUGCAGACAGUGAUUCAGGAGUCACAGAUUUUCAGGCAAUACCUUCCAGACUGAAUAAGGAUGAAAUCCAUUGUGCUGGUAUCAGAUAAUCACAUCCAAUAUUCAAGGCAAGAGCUAUGCUAUGGAAUCCAAUUCGACAUAGUGAGCAAGAGAAGGGAAAAGUGGUUUAUUGCUUCUGUUUCCAGAGCAGGACCUCCUCAACACUUGGCAGCUAAAUUGGGCAGAGCUGAGAACACAUUCACUGACUCCCAGGCUGCUACCUUACCAAGACCAUGCUCAACUAUGGGAAGUGUAUUUAGUACCCAAACAAGGCCAGAGACUGCCCCAGUCCUACAAUCCCCUUCAGAGGUAUUAUCUGGGUAGGUAUUUCAGAAGAGACUAAUGUAUAUUUUCUUGAAGUGAACAUCAGUAGAGCAAGAAUAGUGCAGUUUCAUUAUGGGAAUAUUCCAGCAGUUAGAUAGAUGUUGUAUGUGCCUACACCUCUGCAACACACUGUAGGGCUAUAAAUGUGGAGGAUCUGGCAAUGCAAUCAAAUACAGGCUCUCAACACAUUUCUUUAUGUAGUGUGGUAUUUUUUCUUACUGCUAGUUUUGCUUAAUUCAUCAGUCUAGUACCAUAAACUUUACACAGUGUGACUGCUUACUCUGUAGUCCCUACCCUACCUUCCCUACCUCUGCUUUGACAUUAAAUUUCAAGGUGUCAUCUGAGACCAAGUAUGAAACAACAAAUGAUAGCACUUUGUAGACCAAAUAUGCAAGCAGGCUUUAGAGAAAAAGUACAAUAUAAGUUUUAUAAAUAUAAAGCCAGUUUUACAUUGGGAAAAAAUAAUGCUUAUUCCAGCUUCAAUUAAUUUCCUUCAUUGCAUAAAUUGCUAAAGCUUUGCUUCCACUACGUGGCUUUUUUCCCCACAGAACGACUGCUUUCUGUGCCAUGCAUCUUAUCAUUUUCUGCAGUCUUUAUGCCUUUUCUGGAUCUUAUCACGCCCAUAGCAUUUUACAUGAAUUUCUGCUUGUCCCAGCUGACUUAUUUGUUAAUAGAUGCUCCAUCUUUGGCAUAUUUAUUUCUGUUUCCCCAGUGUCAGAAGAAAAUUAUACAACAUAGCAGUGAAAUCACAGUUACACUAAUGAACAGCUCCAUAUCAUGGAUUUUUCUUAUUUAACAACAGAAAAAUCAGAGGCAAUAUGCUAUUCAGUUACCUUUCCAAUCAUGUUUUUCAAAAUAAUUCUUAUUCUUUUACUAAACGUUCUGCCAGUUUGUACCUUACACAUCACUUUGUCAGCUU
Molecule: long non-coding RNA, 1475 nt
Filed under: Gallus gallus (chicken)
Lineage: Eukaryota; Metazoa; Chordata; Aves; Galliformes; Phasianidae
Description: lncRNA (ENSGALG00010022730.1)
Source: RNAcentral